Molecule: ribosomal RNA, 447 nt
Filed under: uncultured bacterium
Lineage: Bacteria
Description: partial 16S ribosomal RNA
Rfam family: Bacterial small subunit ribosomal RNA
Source: RNAcentral
UGCCAGACUCCUACGGGAGGCAGCAGUGGGGAAUAUUGCACAAUGGGGGAAACCCUGAUGCGGCGACGCCGCGUGAGCGAAGAAGUACCUCGGUAUGUAAAGCUCUAUCAGCAGGGAAGAAGAUGACGGUACCUGACCAAGAAGCUCCGGCUAAAUACGUGCCAGCAGCCGCGGUAAUACGUAGGUGGCAAGCGUUGUCCGGAUUUACUGGGUGUAAAGGGCGUGCAGCCGGGCUGACAAGUCAGAUGUGAAAUCCCGCGGCUCAACCGCGGAACUGCAUUUGAAACUGUCAGUCUUGAGUACCGGAGAGGUCAUCGGAAUUCCUUGUGUAGCGGUGAAAUGCGUAGAUAUAAGGAAGAACACCAGUGGCGAAGGCGGAUGACUGGACGGCAACUGACGGUGAGGCGCGAAAGCGUGGGGAGCAAACAGGAUUAGAUACCCGGGUAC